RNAcentral lists this ribosomal RNA (1020 nucleotides) under uncultured bacterium. RNAcentral describes it as "bacterial SSU rRNA". It matches the Rfam family "Bacterial small subunit ribosomal RNA", at positions 8 to 1027 of the family's 1533-position model. The record is from RNAcentral.
AGAGUUUGAUUAUGGCUCAGGAUGAACGCUAGCGGCAGGCUUAACACAUGCAAGUCGAGGGGCAGCACGAUGUAGCAAUACAUUGGUGGCGACCGGCGCACGGGUGCGUAACGCGUAUGCAACCUACCUACAACAAGGGGAUAAUCUGGAGAAAUCCGGUCUAAUACCCUAUAGCAUUAUCUGAUUGCAUAAUUAGAUAAUUAAAGCGCUUAGUGGUUGUAGAUGGGCAUGCGUGCCAUUAGGUAGUUGGUGAGGUAACGGCUCACCAAGCCGACGAUGGCUAGGGGUUCUGAGAGGAUGAUCCCCCACACUGGAACUGAGACACGGUCCAGACUCCUACGGGAGGCAGCAGUGAGGAAUAUUGGUCAAUGGGCGGAAGCCUGAACCAGCCAUGCCGCGUGCAGGAAGACGGCCCUAUGGGUUGUAAACUGCUUUUAUAAUAGAACAAUAAGAACUACGUGUAGUUCGAUGAGUGUAUAUUAUGAAUAAGCAUCGGCUAACUCCGUGCCAGCAGCCGCGGUAAUACGGAGGAUGCAAGCGUUAUCCGGAUUCAUUGGGUUUAAAGGGUGCGUAGGCGGAUUUAUAAGUCAGCGGUGAAAUCUUUCGGCUUAACCGAAAAUGUGCCGUUGAUACUGUAGAUCUAGAGUGUAAAUGGAGUAGGCGGAAUAUGUCAUGUAGCGGUGAAAUGCAUAGAUAUGACAUAGAACACCAAUCGCGAAGGCAGCUUACUAAAAUACAACUGACGCUGAUGCACGAAAGCGUGGGGAUCAAACAGGAUUAGAUACCCUGGUAGUCCACGCUGUAAACGAUGAUAACUCGUUGUCGGCGAUACACUGUCGGUGACUGAGCGAAAGCGAUAAGUUAUCCACCUGGGGAGUACGAUCGCAAGGUUGAAACUCAAGGAAUUGACGGGGGCCCGCACAAGCGGAGGAGCAUGUGGUUUAAUUCGAUGAUACGCGAGGAACCUUACCUAGAUUUGACGGAGCAGAUAUAUCAGAGAUGUAUAGCUAGCAUAGCUGU